This 507-nucleotide ribosomal RNA is filed under the name uncultured Glomus. Its description in RNAcentral is "SSU rRNA". It matches the Rfam family "Eukaryotic small subunit ribosomal RNA", at positions 569 to 1081 of the family's 1831-position model. The record is from RNAcentral. Lineage: Eukaryota; Fungi; Glomeromycota; Glomeromycetes; Glomerales; Glomeraceae.
AGCAGCCGCGGUAAUUCCAGCUCCAAUAGCGUAUAUUAAAGUUGUUGCAGUUAAAAAGCUCGUAGUUGAAUUUCGGGGUUAGCAAGUUGGUCGUGCCUUCGGUAUGCACUGGCUUUGCUGAUUCCUCCUUCUUGAAGAACUGUGAUGCUAUUAAUUUGGUGUUGCAGGGAAACAGGACUGUUACUUUGAAAAAUUAGAGUGUUUAAAGCAGGCUAACGCUUGAAUACAUUAGCAUGGAAUAAUGAAAUAGGACGUUUGAUCCUAUUUUGUUGGUUUCUAGGAUUGACGUAAUGAUUAAUAGGGAUAGUUGGGGGCAUUAGUAUUCAAUUGUCAGAGGUGAAAUUCUUGGAUUUAUUGAAGACUAACUACUGCGAAAGCAUUUGCCAAGGAUGUUUUCAUUAAUCAAGAACGAAAGUUAAGGAUCGAAGACGAUCAGAUACCGUCGUAGUCUUAACCAUAAACUAUGCCGACUAGGGAUCGGAUGAUGUAAUUUUUAAUGACUCAUUC